RNAcentral lists this ribosomal RNA (253 nucleotides) under uncultured bacterium. Its description in RNAcentral is "partial 16S ribosomal RNA". It matches the Rfam family "Bacterial small subunit ribosomal RNA", at positions 524 to 776 of the family's 1533-position model. The record is from RNAcentral.
UACGGGGGGGGUAAGCGUUGUUCGGAAUUACUGGGCGUAAAGGGCUCGUAGGCGGCCAACUAAGUCAUACGUGAAAUCCCUCAGCUUAACUGGGGAACUGCGUGUGAUACUGGAUGGCUUGGAUUUGGGAGAGGGAUGCAGAAUUCCAGGUGUAGCGGUGAAAUGCGUAGAUAUCUGGAGGAACACCGGUGGCGAAGGCGGCAUCCUGGACCAAUAUUGACGCUGAGGAGCGAAAGCCAGGGGAGCAAACGGG